GGAAUCUUCCACAAUGGACGAAAGUCUGAUGGAGCAACGCCGCGUGAGUGAAGAAGGGUUUCGGCUCGUAAAACUCUGUUGUUAAAGAAGAACAUAUCUGAGAGUAACUGUUCAGGUAUUGACGGUAUUUAACCAGAAAGCCACGGCUAACUACGUACCAG
RNAcentral lists this ribosomal RNA (161 nucleotides) under uncultured bacterium. RNAcentral's name for it is "partial 16S ribosomal RNA". It matches the Rfam family "Bacterial small subunit ribosomal RNA", at positions 358 to 511 of the family's 1533-position model. The record is from RNAcentral.